RNAcentral lists this ribosomal RNA (468 nucleotides) under uncultured bacterium. RNAcentral's name for it is "partial 16S ribosomal RNA". It matches the Rfam family "Bacterial small subunit ribosomal RNA", at positions 28 to 507 of the family's 1533-position model. The record is from RNAcentral.
GACGAACGCUGGCGGCGUGCUUAACACAUGCAAGUCGAACGGAAAGGCCCUGCUUUUGUGGGGUGCUCGAGUGGCGAACGGGUGAGUAACACGUGAGUAACCUGCCCUUGACUUUGUGAUAACUUCAGGAAACUGGGGCUAAUACCGGAUAGGAGCUCCUGCUGCAUGGUGGGGGUUGGAAAGUUUCGGCGGUUGGGGAUGGACUCGCGGCUUAUCAGCUGGUUGGUGGGGUAGUGGCUUACCAAGGCUUUGACGGGUAGCCGGCCUGAGAGGGUGACCGGCCACAUUGGGACUGAGAUACGGCCCAGACUCCUACGGGAGGCAGCAGUGGGGAAUAUUGCACAAUGGGCGGAAGCCUGAUGCAGCAACGCCGCGUGCGGGAUGACGGCCUUCGGGUUGUAAACCGCUUUCGCCUGUGACGAAGCGUGAGUGACGGUAAUGGGUAAAGAAGCACCGGCUAACUACGUG